GCCCCCUGCCGGCCGCGGAGGGCGCGCCUUGGAGGGAGAGGACUUUAGGUGACGCCGCCAGGAGGCGAAAUUUCACCUGCCAGCAGCUCUGGAGGUCAAAAGAAAUGAGACUGCUGGGCUAAGAUCAAGGUGUCAGCAGGGCUGUAUUCCUUCCCAAGGCUCCAGGGGAGAAUCUGUUCACUUGCCUUUCCCAGCUUCUAGAGGUUGCCUACAUUCCUUGGCUUGCGGACCCUUCCUCCAUCUCCAGAAUCAGUAACGAAAGAUCCAAAGCCAUAUCCUGGCUGAGUUGGCUGAGUUGAGCAGGACACUGACAAGGAGGCUGCUGAGCCUGCAACUCGACUGUUCUGUUUGAGGAGCUCUGUGCUUUAUCAUAGAAAUGGAUCUGAGGUGGGGUGUUGCUUUGUCUUGUGAUCGCAGCUCACGGCAGCCUUGGACUCGUGGGCACGAGCAAUCCUCCCACUUCAGCCUCCCAAGUAGCUGGGACCACAGAAGCGGUGUAUUGCGCCUCAGCAUGGAGGAGGACGUGAAGGCGUACGGAGUCUGGGAGUAGUACACCACGUA
RNAcentral lists this long non-coding RNA (561 nucleotides) under Homo sapiens (human). Its description in RNAcentral is "non-protein coding lnc-CMC2-1:2". The record is from RNAcentral. Lineage: Eukaryota; Metazoa; Chordata; Mammalia; Primates; Hominidae.